Molecule: ribosomal RNA, 273 nt
Filed under: uncultured prokaryote
Description: partial 16S ribosomal RNA
Rfam family: Bacterial small subunit ribosomal RNA
Source: RNAcentral
UACGUAGGGAGCAAGCGUUGUCCGGAUUUACUGGGUGUAAAGGGUGCGUAGGCGGCUUUGCAAGUCAGAUGUGAAAUCUAUGGGCUCAACCCAUAAACUGCAUUUGAAACUGUAGAGCUUGAGUGAAGUAGAGGCAGGCGGAAUUCCCCGUGUAGCGGUGAAAUGCGUAGAGAUGGGGAGGAACACCAGUGGCGAAGGCGGCCUGCUGGGCUUUAACUGACGCUGAGGCACGAAAGCGUGGGUAGCAAACAGGAUUAGAAACCCUAGUAGUCC